GCGGAUGUGGCGGAAUAGGCAGACGCGCUAGAUUCAGGUUCUAGUGAGAGCAAUCUCAUGUGGGUUCAAGUCCCUUCAUCCGCACCA
Molecule: transfer RNA, 87 nt
Filed under: Clostridia bacterium
Lineage: Bacteria; Bacillati; Bacillota; Clostridia
Also listed under: 1 other name
Description: tRNA-Leu
Rfam family: tRNA
About the family: Transfer RNA (tRNA) molecules are approximately 80 nucleotides in length.
Source: RNAcentral